CGUUAGAACGGAUGCGGUUCGUCGAGACUUGAAACAGAGAGGGCACUGAACCGGAUGAGGAGGCAGACUCACACCAGGCGCCGGCUAGAGAAACAAGCAUCAAGACACAACUGAUCGAUUGAUUACUUACCUGGAGUGGAUCAGGGGGAGGCGGAGCCGGAAGUCGAGUAAUAGCGGCCGUUACUCUUGUGUGUUCAUCAGAAUGCCACCAGUUGAGAAACUUCAAAAAGAACACACCCACAGGAACAGAUUUCGUCAAAAGCCCAAUAACGAACUCAAGCAAUCUCAUCACACUAUUGAGACAUCAACAACCGAAUUGUACAAUAAGUAUAUUUGUCUCGAUAAGCAAACCCGCCGUUCGACGACUGAACAGUUUCUAGUGAUAAAUCCUCCUUCGUUUGUCUUGCAAGUUGUACUCCUAGUGAUGCAAUUGAGCAUAGUUAUGAUGAGAAGUUGCGAGCAUCACUGACCGGCCAGCAUGAGAAAAGGCGAGUAGAACUUGGAGUACUUGAAAAGGUACAGCAGUUGGUACAACAGUAUCAAGCUCUAUAAUGUCAAUUUUUGAUAUCAAUAUGUUUUCAAUCGACUUAAUUAAUAGAGUAAAUAUUUAAUAAAA
Molecule: long non-coding RNA, 616 nt
Organism: Corticium candelabrum
Lineage: Eukaryota; Metazoa; Porifera; Homoscleromorpha; Homosclerophorida; Plakinidae
Exons: 3
Source: RefSeq, a predicted model, not a curated record